Rattus norvegicus (Norway rat) is the source of this 2445-nucleotide non-coding RNA. NCBI's taxonomy places the organism in Eukaryota, Metazoa, Chordata, Mammalia, Rodentia, Muridae. The record is from RefSeq and is a predicted model, not a curated record.
CCUCACUCCUCUUAGCAGGGCUGGGACUUGAGAGAGAACGGCUCUGGACUUUAAAGUAGCAACAGAAGUUCUAGUUCCCUAUAAGCCACCCACACUUUGUGAGGUCUUUCGUGGAGAUGAUCCCUUCCUCUCUUUGCACCUCUAUCUUCUCACCCCUUUGAUGAUGCUUCCUUACUGGUUCUCUGUAGGGUCUGAGGCAAUGACAUUCCGUGUAUCACGUUCUCAGUUAGUAUUCUGUGGAAUUUUGAAAGGUGUAGGACAAACUCUUACCUUCACAGGGCUUCCUACCUGUUUACAGCUGCAGUCAGAAGAAUUUAGAGUCAGAGAGGUAGAGGAGAAAAAGACCAAGGCCACUAGCCCUGCAUGAACAGAUGCUAAAGGCUGCCCAAGAGGGACGUGUGUUACCAACCAACAGGGUGUUUCAUCACCACAACGGAAAUGAAAACAGAACAGGUGAAAUCCGGCACUUAUGACGGCGUAUAACCUGGGACGAUGAUGUGGUUUGUUUGAGCUUCAGCUUCUUACCUAUAUAUAAGGCAGUACCAAUAAUACUAUGUUAGGUGUCCCUGUGAGAAAUAGUGUGAGUAAAUCACGCAGCUCAGUGCCUGUGGUAGGUACACACAAUUAUCAACAAUCCCGAUCGUCACCAAAACAUUGUUAUUAUUAUUUCUACAGUACCUCCACAAUCCCCGCCUCCGGUCUUUGCUCCCAGGGUUUCCCUGUCUGUCACCCAUGCAUUCAGCUUGCCCAUUGUAAAACAAUGGGAAUUUUUUGGCCUCUUUGGGCCCACGCUGCUGUUUUAAGAGCCAGUCCAGUCCUCCUGACAUUGAACUUGCCAACGAGUUGGAGCCUACACCCAGCAUCUGACAGCGUCUGUGUCCCCAGUUCCGCAACAGAUUGGAAUCCUCCCCACAAGAAGGGGAGCUGCACAAGUGGUUCAAGCUGUCUCCAGGCUUGGGAGCUGGGUGGGUGCUUUUGUCAAGAAACAUGGCCUUUUCAUUAAGGCCAUUGUCCGCCAAUUAGCCCAGCACUGACUCACAGGGAGCACAACACUGGGGGCCCGCUGUUCAGGCGGCCUGUGGCUGCAGCAUUGUGUUCUACGAGCCCUGCGUCUCGUACCCUAAAGAGUCUCCCCUCUGCCGCUCUUCUAGGUGGCUUCUUCACCCUGCCGUGGGGUGCACCUGUCACCUCAGUGAGGGCGCAUUUGUCGCUUGUGUGCUUGGUACCAGGUGGUGUACCUCUGUCAUGUUAUUGAAUUAACAGAACCACCCGGAAGGAAAGUGCCGUUGUCAUUGCUGUUCUUGCAGAGAAGGCAACAAAACCUCCGAAAAAAUGUUUCUCAAGUCGAAGAGGACACAAAACUGUCUCCUUAGUCACCAGAAGAACUGCCAUUUGGACAGCGUUUUCUAAAUAAACUUUGAGUUGCACUGCCUUGGACGAGUUAGAGACCUCUCCAUUUGCCCCCUGCCUACCCCGUCUCUCCUCAUCCCUUCUUCAUCAAGUCUGGAACAUGAAGUCAGAGAUAAAAUAUACACACAGCCCCUGACGGAAGACACUCAAGAGAAGAAAGGGAAGUGAACAGGACGGAUAAUCACCAUGUAAUCAACGCAGACAAGAGCUACAUGCCAGAGACAUCUCUCAUAUCAGAGUCACUCCAGAGAUUUUUGUGUGGACACAGCCACCACAAGCCAGUUGUUCUGCUGCUGGGGUGAGGUGGGGUGGGGUAGGGGGCUUAGUUGCUUCCCCUGUCUGUCUGUUUCCUACAAACAACACUUCCCUGAAAGCCUUAUAACAUCUGUCCACACACCCCAAUCAGCAUUUCUGUAGAGUCACUUUACAGGUGUGGAAUUACACGCUUACUUUGACAUUUUAAUAGCUACCCCUUCUGGACACAGUGCGUUAAUAUAUCCACUUAUGACUUCCAUAUCUGGGUCAAUACAUGAUAUUAUAAGUGUGGUGGUUUGAAUAGGUAGCUAUGGCUCCUAUGGACUCAUGCAUUUGAAUGCUUGGCUAUAAGGGGUGACACUGGUAGGAGGUGUGGCCUUGUUGGAGUAGGGGUUAUCUUGUUGGAGGAAGUGGGUCACUGUGGAGGUGGACCUUAAGGUCUUAUAUGAGCUCCAGCUCCAUCCAGCGUGAUAUACAGUCUCUCCUUGCUGCUCGAGGAUCAAGAUGUAGGACUCUCAGCCCCUUCGCCAGCCACAUGUCUGCCGGCGUGUCACCAGGCUUCCUGCCGUGAUGAUAAUGGACUAGACAUCUGAAACUGUAAGCCAGCCCCAACUACAUGUGUCCUUUAUAAGAGUUGCCUUGGUCGUGGUGUCUCUUCGCAGCAGUAAAACCCCAAACUAAGACAAUCAGGUUCUUACAAUUUUGCUGAACAAAUAAAAUGGCACCAUGUGGCUUGGAUGGGCAUCAUUCUGACCCCUGAUUAAACAUCUCUCGUGCGCA